CACGCCGUUACAGAUUCAUUCAGACAUACUGGCAAACAACAACGAAGGAACGGCGUUUUUAGUAAAUUCCAUUUCACAAUUUCCUGACAAGAAUCAAUAUUUAGGUAUACCCAGAAUAAACUUUAUGGAUCCAAGAAAGGUGGGACGGUCGACUAAUCAAUCAGCGGCUGAAUUUACUUAUCAAGAAUUGGUACAGAUUGGUAAAAAAAUUCCGGCUAAUUGGGAAAUGGUCGCUCUACUUACUGGGAAAUUUGAAGCUGAUGAGAUCGAUAAUAUUCGUCGGGAUCAUAUUAACCUCUAUGAUAACGUGCAGAAAGCAACACGAAUGUUGAAUAUGUACAAGACCAAGAAAGGUACUAGAGAACUGCUGGCGAAAGCUUUGGAAGAAAAUGGACGACUUGACAUAGCCGAAAACGUUCGAUCCAAGUAUUAUCAAACAACUGUGGGCGAAGGAACACAAGUUUCCAGUAA
This is a long non-coding RNA of Dendronephthya gigantea, 471 nucleotides long. RefSeq lists it as uncharacterized. The record is from RefSeq and is a predicted model, not a curated record. NCBI's taxonomy places the organism in Eukaryota, Metazoa, Cnidaria, Anthozoa, Malacalcyonacea, Nephtheidae. The transcript is spliced from 3 exons.